Molecule: ribosomal RNA, 566 nt
Filed under: Anomaloglossus tepuyensis
Lineage: Eukaryota; Metazoa; Chordata; Amphibia; Anura; Aromobatidae
Description: partial 16S ribosomal RNA
Rfam family: Bacterial large subunit ribosomal RNA
Source: RNAcentral
CGCCUCUUGAUUAAACCAUAAGAGGUCCAGCCUGCCCAGUGACUUUGUUCAACGGCCGCGGUAUCCUAACCGUGCGAAGGUAGCGUAAUCACUUGUCCUUUAAAUGAGGACUAGUAUGAAUGGCAUCACGAAGGCUAUACUGUCUCCUUUUUCUAAUCAGUUAAACUAAUCUCCCCGUGAAGAAGCGGGGAUAAACAUACAAGACGAGAAGACCCUAUGGAGCUUCAAACAACUAAAACACUUGCACCUCUAUUUACUUACGUAAACCUACACUUAACUCCACAUUUUGUUUUUAGUUUUAGGUUGGGGUGACCGCGGAGAAAAAACUAACCUCCACGCUGAAAGAGGUUGUACCUCUAAACAAAAAGCUACAUCUUUAUGUAUUAACACAUUAACUUUAAUUGACCCAAUUAAUUGAUCAACGAACCAAGUUACCCUAGGGAUAACAGCGCAAUCCAUUUCAAGAGCUCUUAUCGACAAAUGGGUUUACGACCUCGAUGUUGGAUCAGGGUAUCCCAGUGGUGCAGCCGCUACUAAUGGUUCGUUUGUUCAACGAUUAAAACCCU